CCAACUGCACAACAGCUCACCGCGCGCCGGAGAACCUCUGUCCUGUCCACGGUCGAACAACGACGGAGACACAGCAGCGGCGGCGGUUGCUUCGGCCGUCUCAAGCGCCAACGGGAGUGACACAACGGACAGCAGGAGAAGUGGCCGACGGCGCUGCUGCUGCCCCACGAGCGCUCGAAGAGGCCCCGCGUUGGCGAGCAGCAAGAAUAGUGACGAUGGCCGGAGGAGAUGACGGUGGAGGGAUGGGCAAUUGGCGACGAACUCGCCGGAGAAAGGAAAGGAGUGGAGGCGCCGCCUCUUAUGUAGGGAGGAAUUUGAUGAAUUUGGGGAAAAUGGAAUGAAGGGGAUAGAGAGAGAGAGAAGUUGAUCGAGAAGGGAGAGUGGAGAAAUUUUUGGUAAAACACUUUGGGUGGGCCACUUUAGUUGUUUUUGUUUUGGCCGAAGGAUUUUCAAGAAUUAAAGUGUACUACAUAAUUAAAUUCGAUAAGUGGGCCGACAGUGAAUAAUAACAAUAAAAAAAGGGGCUACUUAAUUUCUUGUUGUUAAUGAGAAUGGUCUUUUAUGGACAAGGAUUAAAAUUAGUAUUUGGGCAGAUUAAAUUACAUAGAGCGAAGAGUUAAUCGUGGAGAUGAGUUGGAGCUCGAUUAAGUGGUAAAUUAAAAUUCUCUGGAUAAUUUACUUAGUUCCCGAAGAUGGAAGAUGUUGAAAUCGAAGGUGCGCAGGGCCGACCAGCGUCGCCCCGCGACGCCUUGGGCGGCUGCUAAGGAAAUAGAAGGAAAGAAAGAGAGAGAGAGACGACGAUCUCAAGUCACAUAAUUAAUUAAGUCUAACAAAGAAUUGCUUUUAAUCAAAUUUCCUGACUUAAUUAAUAUGAAAGUUUCAUAAAUUUCCUAUGAAAGAACGAAGGAUAGAAAGAGAUUAAUUAGGAUGCAUGCAUUCUAAGUAGAUGUUUUCCUUGAGUUUGAUUAAGUAUAUGUUUUUAUUUUCAAAAGGCUAUCUCUACGAGCAAGUGAUGGUAGGAGUAAAGAACCUCAAGUAACGGAAUUUAAACGCACGAGGAAUCGAAUUCGGAUCCGUGUGAGGGUGGUGUCCCUACUCGGAUUAGUGUACACAGGUGACCGUUGGAAGGUGGCCACCUUCCACGGCACAAAGAUGAUAUAGUGGAGGCCGUUGGGAGGUGGCCACCUCCCCGGCUGGAGAAA
This is a non-coding RNA of Salvia hispanica, 1202 nucleotides long. The record is from RefSeq and is a predicted model, not a curated record. NCBI's taxonomy places the organism in Eukaryota, Viridiplantae, Streptophyta, Magnoliopsida, Lamiales, Lamiaceae.